This 328-nucleotide ribosomal RNA is filed under the name uncultured eukaryote. Its description in RNAcentral is "partial 18S ribosomal RNA". It matches the Rfam family "Eukaryotic small subunit ribosomal RNA", at positions 1470 to 1796 of the family's 1831-position model. The record is from RNAcentral.
CCCUUAGAUGUUCUGGGCCGCACGCGCGCUACACUGAUACGUUCAGCGAGUAUAUAACCUUGAUUGGAAAAUCUGGGUAAUCUUUUGAAUGCGUAUCGUGCUAGGGAUAGAUUAUUGCAAUUAUUAAUCUUGAACGAGGAAUUCCUAGUAAACGCAAGUCAUCAGCUUGCAUUGAUUACGUCCCUGCCCUUUGUACACACCGCCUGUCGCACAAACCGAUUGAAUGAUUCGGUGAAAAUUUUGGACAUCGAGAGUGGUGAUUAAUUUCGCUGCUCUUAAAUUGAAAGAAUUUAAACCUAAUUAUUUAGAGGAUUGUGAAGUCAUAACA